Oryza barthii is the source of this 191-nucleotide non-coding RNA. The record is from Rfam. Lineage: Eukaryota; Viridiplantae; Streptophyta; Magnoliopsida; Poales; Poaceae.
AAUAAGUUAUUUGUGGAUUUCUGUGUCUAAUAUUGACUGUCCGUCUUAUUUAAAUAUUUUUAUGAUUAGUAAUUUCAUUGUUAUUAUAUGAUAAAACAUGAGUAGUACUUUAUGCUGGACUUAUUUUUAAAUUUUUUUCCAUAAAUUUUUCAAAUAAGACGGAUGAUCAAAUAUUGGGAAAAAACCCUAAA